This 1352-nucleotide long non-coding RNA is filed under the name Manacus vitellinus (golden-collared manakin). RNAcentral describes it as "lncRNA (ENSMVIG00005000170.1)". The record is from RNAcentral. Lineage: Eukaryota; Metazoa; Chordata; Aves; Passeriformes; Pipridae.
GUGGUGGUUCAGCCCGCUCCGCCCGGCCCCGCCCCCGGGGCGUGUUGGCGGGAGAAUCGGUUUUUGGCGCGCGCCUGAAACAACAGCAAAAAAAAAACAAAAACAAACCAACAACAAAAAAACCCACAAAACCCUAGCCGAAACAAAAGGAAAAAAACCCACAGAUCUCCGCGAUUUAAAUAUGAAGGAUGGCCGGUCACCGACACAGCUCUUCUGCACCUCUUCAGGGUAUUUCAAGGGACGGUUCAAACCCUACGGCAGACGGUUACAUUUAUGUUGUUUAAAAAGACAUGCCGUUAAAUAGUAUUUCAUAUCAAUAGUGAAGGAAGUUGGGUAAUGCCACGAGGUUGCUAUGCCUUGGCAAGCAGAGCUUUCAGGUGUUUUUAACAGCACUUGCAUGCACAGUGAGAUCCUGCUCAUCCUGAGAAUCCCGCACACACUAACAUUUUGCAACAGUAAUUUAUAAACAAUCCGGAGAACUCCUGCAACAGAAUACGCACAGCUUUAAACAGAAAUACCUUUGCAGCCCCUGUGGCCUGAAGGCUGGUGGACACUUCAGAAAGAUGCAGCACACUGAGUUUUCUUCUUCCAGCAUUACAAUCACAGGAUCAUUAAGGCUUGAAAAGACCUUUAAGAUCAUCAAGUCGAUCCAUUAACCCAGCACUGCCAAGGCCACCACCAAACUAUGUCCCCAAGUGCCACAUCUGGUAAAACAGAUGUCAGAAGCAGCAAACAGAAAUUGUCUGAGAUGGGUUUUUUUAUGUGUGGGUUUUUUUUUUUAGUAUCAGUUUAAAACACAAAAGCAACUACUGAAGUGCAGCAAUGCUUUUGGAGAGACUUUCUGAGCACAGCGACAGGGUGGUGUUUGGUUUUGAUUUUUUAAAAAUAAAGAUAUGCUUCAGCCUUGUGAUGCACAAAGGAUGGUGAGAGGAGGAUUUGCAUCUCCAGCGUGGAAAUGAAGCAGAGUUUCACAAACUACAAAUUUCUCAUGUAAUUAUUCACAGAAAUGGAAGAGGCCUGGUACUGUGCCUGGUGUUUCCAGCCAUCACGUACACAGCUACGUGCCUAGUGCUCCUGACUGAAAUCAGUACUGUUUUGAGAACAGUGCAGAUCCUACAUGACAGCACCAGUUUUCCAAGACUUGAUCUGCUGAUCUCAGACUACAUCCCUAUUCUUCAAGUCUUUUUCUGUCACAGGAGAAAUUCCUUCUUCAAUACUUCUAUAUACAAAGAGAGACUAGAUAUUUUCAAAUAUUGAAUUAGCACUUUGGCAAAGUGAAUGCAUAUUAAAUCUUACUCAUGCUCAAAGAGUUUAAAUUAAAAAUCAAUAAAAUCAAAAGAAAAAUGCUAUCA